AAAGCUUUUGUGAUCUGCAGUUGUGAUGUCAAACAAAUUGCAUAGUCACAAAAGUGAUG
RNAcentral lists this microRNA precursor (59 nucleotides) under Eisenia fetida (common brandling worm). RNAcentral describes it as "Efe-Mir-153-P8_pre stem-loop". The record is from RNAcentral. Lineage: Eukaryota; Metazoa; Annelida; Clitellata; Crassiclitellata; Lumbricidae.